This 253-nucleotide ribosomal RNA is filed under the name uncultured bacterium. RNAcentral describes it as "partial 16S ribosomal RNA". It matches the Rfam family "Bacterial small subunit ribosomal RNA", at positions 524 to 776 of the family's 1533-position model. The record is from RNAcentral.
UACGAAGGGGACUAGCGUUGUUCGGAAUUACUGGGCGUAAAGCGUGCGUAGGCGGUGUCUUAAGUUUGUUGUGAAACCUCCCGGCUUAACCGGGAGGGUGCGGCGAAUACUGAGAUGCUGGAGUGCGGGAGAGGUAAGCGGAAUUCCUGGUGUAGCGGUGAAAUGCGCAGAUAUCAGGAGGAACACCAAUUGCGAAGGCAGCUCGCUGGGACGUUACUGACGCUGAGACGCGAAAGCGUGGGGAGCAAACAGG